This 682-nucleotide small RNA is filed under the name Vigna angularis var. angularis. RNAcentral's name for it is "Non-protein coding transcript". The record is from RNAcentral. Lineage: Eukaryota; Viridiplantae; Streptophyta; Magnoliopsida; Fabales; Fabaceae.
UUGGGUUUGUAGUGAGCAAAGAAAUAUUUGCAAAGACUUUGGAGGCAUAGGAGGGACUCACCUUAUUGUUGUUUUGUUGUGGACAUUAUUUUUUUUUAGUCUGAAGUUGAUUAGAAAAGAGAGGAGGAGGGGCUUUUAAAUUAGCUUAAUUGGUGAGUCAGAGAAAAAUAUUUUGCUACUAUUCUUACAAAAAAAAAACAGAACACUAGUAAGAGAGGUGUAGAGACUUUGUUCUUCUACUCUUAGUGGAGUUUCAAAGAGGAUCCAAGAGGGUGGAGUGACUUUGGGGUACAUCAAGAGGAGAGAAGCUUGUGGUCAUUUCAUUAACAUCAAAGAAAACUCUAGAAAAUUUCUACAACAAGAGAUGAUAUUGCAGAUGUUACUGGAAUGGAGUAGCUCAACGAAAGUGCUGGGAAAUAAAAUUUGUCUGGGAUUUUCUUUAAGUUGCUAUUUAUCGGCGUGUUUAAUUUUUAUAGUUGUAAAAGACAAAUAAUAUGUGUUUUCAAUAUGAUGUAAGAACAUAUAAUAAGUAAUGCUUUGCUUCCGCAUUUAAAAAAAAAAUCUGUAUUUGGACGAGAAUGUUUUAAACGCUUGUAGUUUGAUCUAUUUUAAGUAACAUCUUAUUAAGGGGCGUUACACCUUGAAGUUAUCCUUUGAAGUUUGCAAAUUUAAGUUGUUCAUA